This 803-nucleotide ribosomal RNA is filed under the name uncultured Leptothrix sp. Its description in RNAcentral is "partial 16S ribosomal RNA". The stretch from base 172 to 803 matches the Rfam family "Bacterial small subunit ribosomal RNA", at positions 1 to 628 of the family's 1533-position model. The record is from RNAcentral. Lineage: Bacteria; Pseudomonadati; Pseudomonadota; Betaproteobacteria; Burkholderiales; Sphaerotilaceae.
CGAUGGGCCGACGUCGCAUGCUCCCGGCCGCCAUGGUUAGAGUUUAUCAUGGCUCAGGAUAAGUCGUAACAAGGUAACCGUAGAGUUUGAUCCUGGCUCAGGAUAAGUCGUAACAAGGUAGCCGUAAGUCGUAACAAGGUAGCCGUAGAGUUUGAUCCUGGCUCAGGAUAAGUCGUAAAGAGUUUGAUCAUGGCUCAGAUUGAACGCUGGCGGCAUGCCUUACACAUGCAAGUCGAACGGUAACGCGGGGCAACCUGGCGACGAGUGGCGAACGGGUGAGUAAUAUAUCGGAACGUGCCCAGUAGUGGGGGAUAGCCCGGCGAAAGCCGGAUUAAUACCGCAUACGACCUAUGGGUGAAAGCGGGGGAUUCGCAAGGACCUCGCGCUAUUGGAGCGGCCGAUAUCAGAUUAGCUAGUUGGUGGGGUAAAGGCCUACCAAGGCGACGAUCUGUAGCUGGUCUGAGAGGACGACCAGCCACACUGGGACUGAGACACGGCCCAGACUCCUACGGGAGGCAGCAGUGGGGAAUUUUGGACAAUGGGCGCAAGCCUGAUCCAGCCAUGCCGCGUGUGGGAAGAAGGCCUUCGGGUUGUAAACCACUUUUGUCAGGGAAGAAACGGUCUGGUUUUAUACACUGGGACUAAUGACGGUACCUGAAGAAUAAGCACCGGGCUAACUACGUGCCAGCAGCCGCGGUAAUACGUAGGGUGCAGGCGUUUAUCGGAAUUACUGGGCGUUAAGCGUGCGCAGGCGGCUUUGCAAGACAAAGUGGAAUCCCGGGGCUCACCUGGGAACUGCUUUU